GAUCCUGGCUCAGGAUGAACGCUAGCUACAGGCUUAACACAUGCAAGUCGAGGGGCAGCAUUUUUAUAGCAAUAUAAAAGAUGGCGACCGGCGCACGGGUGAGUAACACGUAUCCAACCUGCCGUCUACUCUUGGCCAGCCUUCUGAAAGGAAGAUUAAUCCAGGAUGGGAUCAUGAGUUCACAUGUCCGCAUGAUUAAAGGUAUUUUCCGGUAGACGAUGGGGAUGCGUU
This 231-nucleotide ribosomal RNA is filed under the name uncultured bacterium. Its description in RNAcentral is "partial 16S ribosomal RNA". It matches the Rfam family "Bacterial small subunit ribosomal RNA", at positions 15 to 237 of the family's 1533-position model. The record is from RNAcentral.